GUGAGCUGGACUGGCAGGAAAAAUACUAAAGUUGUUCCUUGAGGCUGUGACAUUGUACUUCCAUUAAAAAUAACCGAUGCUGUGUUUUUCCACCAGAAGCAAUGGGAGAUUUUGCUGAGGUUGUCCAACUUUAUGGGAAAGAGAGAAUCACAACCUGAUAAUUAAAAAGAGAGCAAGGCAGAGGGGUAGUGUUCUGAAGCAAGCGGACUGAGCCAACUGUUGCCAAAUUUGAUCACAAGUCGCAUUCACCAUUGAGCCAAACUCCCAGGCAGAUGCCAGAGGGUAUGUGGCCAUGGAGUGCUGUGUGUUCAUCCAGGGAAUGGUCAGAUUGCCUCUGUGAAACCCCUGUGUCCUAUUUUAAGGCAGUGGUGUCCUGGUUUUGUGUAAGUUUUCUACAGAAAGUGAGUUUCUCUGUCAGUAAGUGGGAUUCGUGCUAUCCCUUGCUUCAUACAAACAAGAUAAGCAGUGGCCUGGGAUUUCUGAACCUCCUGUAAAUGGAAACUCAUGUCCCUCUCCUGUGCUAAGCAACAUGGUCUGGAUGACAAUCUCCUCUUGUCUGAGCAACCUUAACCCUGUAGUGCCUGGUCUGUGGAGCACACAGGGACCCUGUAGGUGGGCCCUGGGAUGGUUACAGGCUUCAUUAGCCACUGGAAGGAAUACGAUGAUAUGCAGGAAAAGGACCCUGUGAACUCAGCAAGCCACAAGUGAAGCCUCUGAGAGCACUCUGGUCUUGGUUAAAGGCUGCAAAAUGUACAACUAUGAACAAAGCACAGUCUCUACUUGGACAGGCUGAGUAAGUGGAUGUUUAGACAUAAGAAUCUGGAGGAACUAACAGAGCUGCUGAGUGAUGGAGAAGCUUCUGAAGCAGACCAAGGCACGGGAGCUUUGCCCAGUCCCUACACAGGUCACUGUGCAGGACACCAGUGUGGCAGGAGCACGUCCCUGGCCCUGGGCCUGUCUUCAUGGACCAAAUGGUAAAAUUCCUAGGAGCAGGAUGCAAACCCAGUGAACUUCUGAAGACAUUUCCUCACACAGUGUCCUGGACCAAGAGUCACUUUCAACUUAAAAAACUGAAGAACAACUGGUUGAUGCAGCAAUUCAUCUCUCAUGUGGUCCAUGUAGCUUCUUUUCACUCCUUCUGGA
Molecule: long non-coding RNA, 1143 nt
Organism: Corapipo altera (White-ruffed manakin)
Lineage: Eukaryota; Metazoa; Chordata; Aves; Passeriformes; Pipridae
Exons: 5
Source: RefSeq, a predicted model, not a curated record